This is a long non-coding RNA of Armigeres subalbatus, 722 nucleotides long. RefSeq lists it as uncharacterized. The transcript is spliced from 3 exons. Lineage: Eukaryota; Metazoa; Arthropoda; Insecta; Diptera; Culicidae. The record is from RefSeq and is a predicted model, not a curated record.
ACAACGGUAUAUUCAAGUUUCAAUGUGUGGUCAACAUACAACAGACUGUUACUGUUUAAUAUUUUAAAGUUCAAAAUAGGUUUAACUCAACAAGAAAACGUUAAUAAAUAGAAUCAGUACUGUUACGGGGAUGGUCUUGACUUGCAAUAGUGCCUUUUUAUAAUUGUGUAUCAUUCAUGGCAAAUAUAAACUCAUCGCAUAUCACACAUACUUCACCAUAUUAUAACGUUUCAAGAUAAAAUUAAGAUAUGUGUUCCAGUUCUGGAACAAAUGUUAGUGUCGUAAAAUUGCAGGAUGCAUUUUACCAAACGAGAAGCAAACAUAUCAGCCAUCGCAAAAAUAAACAUGUUUUCUUUUUGAGUGAAACAGUUUCAUUUCAUCGGCGAGGAAGGCCUAGUUUUAUAUUGUGUUUAAGGGUCAGGUGGCAGGAAACAAAAAUGAUUUUUUUCGUUUUCCGAAGGUCGGCAAUGCUACGGACUUAUAUUGCGCACUGAUUUCAUCGAAUUCCCUGCAGAAAAAAAAACUACCAGCCAGGUUAAAUGAUCCGAUGAACGAAAACGCUAUGCUGGAGUGAUGUAUCAGCUGAAAUUAUUCUUUUAAAAUUAGAAACAAAACAUGUUUAAAUAUAAAUAACGCUGAAAUUAAAAAAAAAAUCACGAUGUUUAUUUGUUUUCCCUCCUGAUCCCUCUUUUAUUCGAUACACCCAGAAAAAAAUUAAAACA